AUACUUACCUGGCAGGGGGGACACCAUGAUCCGCCAGGUGGUUUUCCCAGGGCGACGCUCUCCAAUUGUACUGCGGAAGUGCUGAUUCCUGCAAUUUCCCCACAUACGGGAAACUCAACUGCAGAAUUUGUAGUAGUAGAGUACUGCAUUCGCGCUCAGCCCUG
Oryctolagus cuniculus (rabbit) is the source of this 164-nucleotide small nuclear RNA. Its record names the gene U1. It matches the Rfam family "U1 spliceosomal RNA". From Rfam's summary of the family: U1 is a small nuclear RNA (snRNA) component of the spliceosome (involved in pre-mRNA splicing). Its 5' end forms complementary base pairs with the 5' splice junction, thus defining the 5' donor site of an intron. The record is from Ensembl. Lineage: Eukaryota; Metazoa; Chordata; Mammalia; Lagomorpha; Leporidae.